Molecule: ribosomal RNA, 449 nt
Filed under: uncultured bacterium
Lineage: Bacteria
Description: partial 16S ribosomal RNA
Rfam family: Bacterial small subunit ribosomal RNA
Source: RNAcentral
AACGAACGCUGGCGGCAUGCCUAACACAUGCAAGUCGAACGAGAUCUUCGGGUCUAGUGGCGCACGGGUGCGUAACGCGUGGGAAUCUGCCCUUUGGUUCGGAAUAACAGUUGGAAACGACUGCUAAUACCGGAUGAUGACGAAAGUCCAAAGAUUUAUCGCCAGAGGAUGAGCCCGCGUAGGAUUAGCUAGUUGGUGUGGUAAAGGCGCACCAAGGCGACGAUCCUUAGCUGGUCUGAGAGGAUGAUCAGCCACACUGGGACUGAGACACGGCCCAGACGCCUACGGGAGGCAGCAGUGGGGAAUAUUGGACAAUGGGCGAAAGCCUGAUCCAGCAAUGCCGCGUGAGUGAUGAAGGCCUUAGGGUUGUAAAGCUCUUUUACCCGGGAUGAUAAUGACAGUACCGGGAGAAUAAGCGCCGGCUAACUCCGUGCCAGCAGCCGCCGUAA